GACGAACGCUGGCGGCGUGCUUAACACAUGCAAGUCGAACGGAAAGGCCCUGCUUUUGUGGGGUGCUCGAGUGGCGAACGGGUGAGUAACACGUGAGUAACCUGCCCUUGACUUUGGGAUAACUUCAGGAAACUGGGGCUAAUACCGUAUAGGAUCUCCUGCUGCAUGGUGGGGGUUGGAACGUUUCGGCGGUUGGGGAUGGACUCGCGGCUUAUCAGCUUGUUGGUGGGGUAGUGGCUUACCAAGGCUUUGACGGGUAGCCGGCCUGGGAGGGUGAACGGCCACAUUGGGACUGAGAGACGGCCCAGACUGCUACGGGAGGCAGCAGGGGGGAAUAUUGCACAAUGGGCGGAAGCCUGAUGCAGAAACGCCGCGUGCGGGAUGACGGCCUUUGGGGUGUAAACCGCUUUCGCCUGUGACGAAGCGUGAGUGACGGUAAUGGGUAAAGAAGCACCGGCUAACUACGUG
This 468-nucleotide ribosomal RNA is filed under the name uncultured bacterium. RNAcentral describes it as "partial 16S ribosomal RNA". It matches the Rfam family "Bacterial small subunit ribosomal RNA", at positions 28 to 507 of the family's 1533-position model. The record is from RNAcentral.